UUUAAAUAAGGAAGAGUUUGUGGUGGAUGCCUUGGGUCUGAAAGUCGAUGAAGGACGUGAUUACCUGCGAUAAGCCUCGUGGAGCCGGAAAUAUGCUAUGAAACGGGGAUUUCCGAAUGGGGAAACCUAACUAGGGUAAUGCCUAGUUGCCUUGUUCUGAAUUCAUAGGAACUUGAGUGAGACACCUUGUGAACUGAAACAUCUUAGUAGCAAGAGGAAGAGAAAAUAAACAAUGAUUUCUUUAGUAGCGGCGAGCGAACGAGAAAGAGCCCAAACCCAGCAAUGGGGGUUGUAGGACGAUCUACAUGAAGUUACAAAACUUAAUGAUAGCAGAAGCUUUUGGGAAGAAGCGGCAUAGAGGGUGAUACCCCCGUAUGUGAAAUUGUUAAGUCUUCUGAUCGUAUCCUGAGUAGGGCGGGGCACGUGGAACCCUGUCUGAAUCUGCCGGGACCACCCGGUAAGGCUAAAUACUAAUCAGACACCGAUAGUGAACUAGUACCGUGAGGGAAAGGUGAAAAGAACCCAGAGAUGG
This 532-nucleotide ribosomal RNA is filed under the name Mycoplasmopsis fermentans. RNAcentral describes it as "bacterial LSU rRNA". It matches the Rfam family "Bacterial large subunit ribosomal RNA", at positions 1 to 535 of the family's 2925-position model. The record is from RNAcentral. Lineage: Bacteria; Bacillati; Mycoplasmatota; Mycoplasmoidales; Metamycoplasmataceae.